This is a non-coding RNA of Camellia sinensis, 863 nucleotides long. The record is from RefSeq and is a predicted model, not a curated record. Lineage: Eukaryota; Viridiplantae; Streptophyta; Magnoliopsida; Ericales; Theaceae.
UUACAAAUCAUAGUACGAUAGCUUGCAUGCCUUAUAUCCAAUUGCUUUCCGUUCACUACAAUGGCAUUCCAUAUAUCAUUUUCACAUUACCCACAAAAUUAUAUAUAUGUAUAUAUAAAGGUGCUCCUUAAUGGUAUGUGCUAAUGUUUGUCAUUGAUUCCCUAAAUAAGAUUAGAAAUUAUUUUCUAUUGCAUCUUUCUUUGUGACACUUACUAAUAAUAAAGAGUGGAGCUCACAUCAUUAAAUGAUGUUAAUCCCAUGCCCAGCUAGUAUGACAUUGACAACAUUUCUUUUCACCCCAACAUGCCACGAAUAUAUUUUACGCUGAAGUGCUACACCCUUCAAACUCCAGUCCCAUUUUUUUUAUUUUUUGGAAAAAUUACUUAACAAUAGAGUGGGGAAAAAAAAUUACAAAAACAUGUAGAGUGUAAGUGAGCUUGUGCUGAAGUGCAAAUAACUUGUACCCUUCUAUGUUUGUGUAAUUUAUUUUUGUCUACUUCACUGUUGAAUUGUUUCCCCUUUCUUUUUUACCAUACUGCAAAUAAUUCGACUACGUUAUUAUAUAAAAUACUUUCUCCUACAUGCUUAUCAAUUUUGCAAAUCUUUGGUAGAUUUAUCUUCCUCAAUGUCUAAACAUACUUCUAAGAUUUUGAAACCACAACAGUUCUAAAAAAAAUAAUAAAAAAUAACCACAAUAUUGCUUCUUUUUUUCUUUUUUUUCUUUCUUUCUUUUGAUAACUCACAAGAUUGCUUUUAGGUACAAACAGAGAGAGAGAGAGAGAGAGAGAGAGAGAGAGGGGUUUCAAAUUAAGUUAUUCGGUGAAAAAAAUCCAACAAUUCAUUGUCAUUAUCAGCCGCUACAA